UCUAAUCAAGAUAAGAUUUCAACUCUUUACGAUUAUUGGAUUAGAUUUUCUUAUUGCAAUCUCAUCUGUCGGAUUGUUAUCUAUAUUUUUACCCUCUCACUGUAAAAAUAGAUGUCUAUUUCUCAUCUCUUAUUCCACAUCCAUCCUAUUUUCUCAUCUCUUAUUUCUCUCUCUUUAGCCUGCAUCAGUUCCGACUUCUGCUGCCCCUCUCAAUGACAAUUACAACAACGAAUCAAUGAAUGGAUUUUGUUCUUCUGAGGUUGAAGAAUGGGCGAUGAGAGGUUGUGGGGAUGAGAUGGUCGUCAGUGUUUUAUGCUGAAAAAAUAGCAACAGUGCAGUGGCUCUCCCUGAGCAGCUUGCUUCUUUACAAGUUACGGCCGAAGAUCUACACCGACGAUUCUGAAGCACACAUAUGAUUCAAACGUAUAACAAAUAUCAAAUCCAACAAUGAUACAACAACAAACGAAGAUAUUAUUUCGGUUAUCCGCGCUGACUGGGUUGCCAUCUUGACAGCCUCGCCCAGCUUGAUUCGCAGACCCGCCGAGGCAAGUCAUUGAGAGACUGAAAACACAUUAAACUUCUCUAACGCAAUUUUACCACACCAUACCCUCUCUGUCUCGACCACAUCACAGACAAACUACACACACCUGCUGCUAUCUCUCUCUCAUUCUCUCGAUCGAGCGACUCUCGAGCCCAAAAUCGAGGUGUUGUCAUGGCAUCUAAACGCAUCUUGAAGGAGCUCAAGGAUUUGCAGAAGGACCCCCCCCUACCUCAUGCAGUGCUGGUCCUGUGGCCGAGGACAUGUUCCGUUGGCAGGCGACAAUUAUGGGACCUGGUGAUAGCCCAUACACAGCUUUUGCUCUUUCGUUUGUAUGAUGCUCAGACUCGUUUCUUGGUAAAAGUUUCACCGACUCUCUUGGUGAACUUGGAAAUCUGAAGCUUGAAUACUUAUCAAGACUAUAGUGGAUCCGCUCUGACACUUAUAGAAUCGUUGUCCAGGUUUGACAGAUUAUGGCACAUAUACGCUUCUGUUAUUCUGUAAUCUUAAGUAUAUAUGCUUUAAGUUAUUGCAACGUUAUCCUCAACUUUGGUGUUUUCUUCAUGCUGUAUCAUAUAAUUUGUCCGCCCGUCAUUCUGAUGCAAAAAAAUUCUCUCAGCCUUGUCAUUAUGGGUAACAACACUGAAUUUGAAAGUGCAAUUGUUUGACCUUCCUCAAGAAUUUGAAAUUCAAUGUCAAUGCGAGGGUAAAUCUCUUUGAGGUAUCUAUUGACGAGCUUGUCGAAAAGCUUGUUUUGGUUAAGUUACUCUGAUAUUCAAAAGCAAUAUUUAUUGUCGUUCUGGUUCUCUUUUUCACUUGAUUGCUCUAUGUGGUGCAACAUAAGAGUACUUGGAGGGCUUGUUUCAGCUCAUUUACUUCCGACUGAUUCGACAAACAGGCUGGGUCAAGGAGUUUAAUCAGCUGCUUACCUUGGCUGAGGACUUAGGGAAACGCUUCCUACCUGCGUUUAACACACCCACUGGAUUGCCAUAUGCAUGGAUUAACAUACAGUGUGGAUGGAGUGAUGGAGAAAGAGACUACUGAAAUUAGCACUUCAGGGUGCGGAGCAUUGUCCCGAUUGACUGGAGACCCCAAAUAUGAAUCGGCAGCUUUAUGUGCUCUUUGUGAAUUAUGGGGCACGUGGAGUUCGUUGAAUUUACUCGGUACAAUGCUGGAUGUAUCAACUGGUGAAUGGAUUGUGUAUUCAUCCGGAAUUGGAGCUGGGGAUGACUAUCUAUUUAAGGGCCACAUCCUUGUUGGAAAUGAGUUCUGGAGGAUGUUUCAUUCUGCUGUGCAGAAAUAUUUCAGACAUGGUCCAUGGUCCAUGGUAUAUUGAAGUGGGGGAGUCAAUUCUAAAUUCUCUGAACCUAUACACCAAAGUGGAACGAGGUUUUGCUAACAUCAGAGAUGUCACAACUACGCAGUUGGAAGACCAUCAGCAUAGUUUCUUCCUUGCUGAGACGUAAGAGUUGUUUUUCCCUUUCCUUGCUGAGACGUAAGAGUUGUUUUUCAUUGUUUAAAUACAAUAUAGCACAAUUUGAUUCCAACUAACGAAGAAGGAAAAACAAUCUGUAACGGGUAUUAUAAUCUUAAGCAGAUUACAAUUUGAUUUCAAUUAACAUUUUUCUUGCCUC
Non-coding RNA from Malus domestica (apple), 2172 nucleotides. The record is from RefSeq and is a predicted model, not a curated record. Lineage: Eukaryota; Viridiplantae; Streptophyta; Magnoliopsida; Rosales; Rosaceae.